This 494-nucleotide ribosomal RNA is filed under the name uncultured bacterium. RNAcentral describes it as "partial 16S ribosomal RNA". It matches the Rfam family "Bacterial small subunit ribosomal RNA", at positions 28 to 507 of the family's 1533-position model. The record is from RNAcentral.
GACGAACGCUGGCGGCGUGCUUAACACAUGCAAGUCGAACGGAAAGGCCUGCUUUCCCUUGUGGAUUGCGGGUACUCGAGUGGCGAACGGGUGAGUAACACGUGAGUGAUCUGCCCCCAACUUGGGUAUAAGCCUGGGAAACUGGGUCUAAUUCCCGAUAGGACUGCAGGGUGGUGCCUGUGGUGGAAAACGAUUUUCUAGUGGUUGGGGAUGAGCUCGCGGCCUAUCAGCUUGUUGGUGGGGUAAUGGCCUACCAAGGCGGCGACGGGUAGCCGGCCUGGGAGGGUGGACGGCCACAUUGGGACUGAGAUACGGCCCAGACUCCUACGGGGGGCAGCAGUGGGGAAUAUUGCACAAUGGGCGGAAACCUGAUGCAGCGACGCCGCGUGGGGGAUGACGGCCUUCGGGUUGUAAACUCCUUUCGACCGCGAGGAAGCCACCUGGUUGGAAGGGUGGUGACGGUAGUGGUAGAAGAAGCACCGGCUAACUACGUG